UACGUAGGGAGCAAGCGUUGUCCGGAAUCAUUGGGCGUAAAGCGCGCGUAGGCGGCCCUGUAAGUCCGCUGUGAAAGUCAAAGGCUCAACCUUUGAAAGCCGGUGGAUACUGCAGGGCUAGAGUCCGGAAGAGGCGAGUGGAAUUCCUGGUGUAGCGGUGGAAUGCGCAGAUAUCAGGAGGAACACCAAUAGCGAAGGCAGCUCGCUGGGACGGUACUGACGCUAAGGCGCGAAAGCGUGGGAGCGAACG
Molecule: ribosomal RNA, 250 nt
Filed under: uncultured bacterium
Lineage: Bacteria
Description: partial 16S ribosomal RNA
Rfam family: Bacterial small subunit ribosomal RNA
Source: RNAcentral